CCCGCCCUCGCACAGCACCUGCCCCCACGCCAUUCCGCCGCGCACUGCCGCGCCACACCGCGCGCACCGAACGUCGCCGCGCCACACCGCGCGCACCGGACGCCGCCGUCGUCGUCUUCUGCCCGCGCCGCGAUGACGAGCCGUACCCGCUCCACACCCACUUCGUUCCAAGGUGAGCACCCCAGUCGCCCCUUCUUUCCUCCGCGCGUUGCGCCAUGCCUCUGCCGCGCCGCGCCCCGGACGCCGCCGCCGCUCAGCCCCGCGCCGCAGGCCGCGAUGAGGCCGAGUGAGCCGGCUCCGCGGCCCAGCUCACGCCUGAGGAAGAGGGAAGGCCGCAUGGGCCUGACCCCCUGCAUUCGGCCCAGUCGGUGCUCGUCCACGGCCAGCCCGAGAGAGGAAGUGGCCAAGCAAGCCUUGCCCCUCAUUUCGGCCCACGCGCAAAACAGCAAAGAAAAUUCCUUUUUCUUUUAAAUAAGUAGAUCAACUUUGAAAAUUUAUAACCUCUCUAUUUUAAAUCCGAUCCGAGCGAUUCUAAUUGCGUUGGGUUCGUCUCGACAGGAUCUACACAGUGGAGCUAUAGAUUACUAGUUUACCAUUAAUUAAUUUAUGAGGUCAUAUUUAAUAUAUUAAAUAAUUGCUAAAAAUCGUAGAAAAAUCAUAUCUCGUUCAUACGAACUCCAAAAAUCACACAAUAAAUAUCGAAAUUUAUAUAAAAUAAAUUUCUACCUGAUGGUAUACUUUUUGUGUGCAUUUGGAUCUUUUCGCUGUUGUUCGUUCUUUGUGCUCAUCUAUAGGGGUCGUUUCCGCGACCAAUAAUCUACGUGCAGAGUCGGAGGAGGAUCGGACUGACGAGGAUCGGGAAUAUCGGGAGGAGUUAGGCGACGACUACUCCGAAGGU
This 898-nucleotide long non-coding RNA is filed under the name Sorghum bicolor (sorghum). Its description in RNAcentral is "long non-coding RNA (SBIC_LNC011225)". Lineage: Eukaryota; Viridiplantae; Streptophyta; Magnoliopsida; Poales; Poaceae. The record is from RNAcentral.